Molecule: ribosomal RNA, 1899 nt
Filed under: Triticum aestivum (bread wheat)
Lineage: Eukaryota; Viridiplantae; Streptophyta; Magnoliopsida; Poales; Poaceae
Description: partial small subunit ribosomal RNA
Source: RNAcentral
AUGAGAAGGAAUGCAUCCCCAGGACCAGAUGGUUUCAACGUAGCCUUCUACAUAGGAGCUUGGGACUGGAUUGGAGAUGACAUAGUCAAAGUGGUAAGAGAUUUCUAUGAAAAAGGUACACUUCCUGCCCAUCUAAAUGACACUCAAAUAACACUCAUUCCAAAGAAGCUGGUUUCUGUUGUUCCUGCUGAUUUUCGACCUAUUAGCUUGUGUAAUGUUAUUUACAAAAUCAUAGCAAAAACCCUAGCCAAUAGACUCAAACCUCAUUUGACGGAUUAUAUUGACCAAUCUCAGCAAGCUUUCAUUGAAGGUAGAAGGAUUAGCAACAAUAUCAUCAUAGCUCAGGAAAUAACUCAUUCUUUUGCUUUGAAAUCUUGGAAAACCCCUGCUUUCAUGCUUAAAAUUGAUUUAGCCAAAGCUUUCGAUAGACUUGAAUGGAACUUCAUUAUGCAAGCUCUCUCACGAAAAAGGCUUCAUGGUCAUUUCAUCAAAUUGAUUUAUGCAUGCAUUACGGUUCCUUCUUUUUCUGUUACCAUUAAUGGCCAAUCUUAUGGUCGCUUGCAGAGUUGCAGGGGGAUUAGACAAGGAUGUCCUUUAUCUCCUUACUUGUUUGUUUUAGCAAUUAACGAGCUUUCUAUAUCCCUCCAAGAGGCUAUGUGCUCAAAUCAUUUGGCAGGUAUAUCUUUAGGCACUGGUUGUCCUCCCAUUCACUCACUCAUGUUUGCAGAUGAUUUAUUAAUUUGUGGUCAAGCCUAUAUUACUGAAGCUACUCACAUGCUCCAUAUUCUUCAAAGAUUUUGCAACCUAUCAGGUCAAACUCCUAACUGGAAUAAAUCAGGUAUCAUUUUCAGCGCAAAUGUUAGUGCUUGCAUUAAGGAUGACAUCAAAAGAAUUUUUCCUGUUAUGGACAUCGAUGCUAAUUCAGUUCACCUUGGGCACCCUUUAAUCCUACCAGCCAAGGAUAGAUUUGCUGCUUAUAAUUUCGUGGCUAACAAAUUUCGUAAUAAACUUAGUGGUUACAAGGCCAAUAAACUCUCUCAUGCAGCCAGAUUAACGCUUAUUAAUUCUGUCUUUGCUUCCAUCCCCAUAUAUUACAUGUCUAACAUAUUAUUCUCUAGGAAGUUGAUUGCAAAGCUCACGGCCAUCAUUAGAAAUUUUUGGUGGACAGGAAUAAAAGAGGAACCGAGGUCUAGAGCACUUUGUCUUAGGGCAUGGAAGGACAUUUGUAUUCCGAAAAGUGAAGGAGGCCUAGGAAUAAGGAACAUCCAAGCUAUGAACAGAGGCCUUGUUCUUUCAGCGGCAUGGAGAAUUACGGAAAACCCUGAUUGCUUUCUCUCAAGAGUUCUCAAAUCCAAAUACUUUCCUGACUCAUCAAUUUGGAGAGCUAGUUCAAAAGUUCCAAAAUCUGCCUUCUGGUCAUCCAUUUUAAAAAUUCGCCACUUGCUUUACUCGAAUUCUUUUUAUCAACUUAUUGAAGGUGACUCUUCUAUAUGGAGCACUCCGUGGUGUCCUGUUUGGGAAUCCAUCUAUAACCACCUUAUAAUACAACCUGGUCACUUCAUUUAUCCUUCGCAAGUUAAGGAUCUAUGGCUGCCUAACCAAAAAGCUUGGAACACCAGCCUUAUUUGCACACUCUUUGAUGAGCAGGCAGCUAACAUCAUUAUGCAGGUUCCAAUAAUUCAAUUGGAAGGUACUGACAUCCUAUGUUGGAAGCUACAUAAUUCAGGAAAAUGUAAUUCCAAAUCAGCAUAUAGAGCUUGCCUACAGGAUAUGCAGGAACAUGGCGAGCCUUUACCUAGACAGGCAUCUACAUGUGUAAAGCAUAUUUUAAAACAAACUUGGAGAGAGUACAAACAUUCGCAUGGAUGCUACUUAGGAGGGCAAUUCCCACAGGUAUGA